This 527-nucleotide long non-coding RNA is filed under the name Ananas comosus (pineapple). Its description in RNAcentral is "long non-coding RNA (ACOM_LNC039654)". The record is from RNAcentral. Lineage: Eukaryota; Viridiplantae; Streptophyta; Magnoliopsida; Poales; Bromeliaceae.
AGGAUUUCUAGUAAGAAUUAAAGUGUCCCCGUAUCUACCGUAUCGUAUCAUGCCAGCAAGAUUUCGAUACGAUACAGUUCCUGUAUUGAUGGCACAACUCAAAACCCUCUAUUUUUUAAAUUAGUAAAUAAUUUUUUCAGUAAAGUUCAAAAAAUUUGAUAAAAAUAAAUAAUAAAUAAUUGAUAUAUUUUGUGCUUGAAGAAAAUAAAUAAUUCAUAUCAUUACGUAUCGGCACGUAUAUAUUUUUUAUGAUUGACAUUUAUCGAUAUGAUUUGACCUUGCGUAUCAUAUCAUGUUGGUAAAUUUUUAAUAUAAUCUCGUGUCACGUGUCACGACACUUAAAUUCUUACUUUCUAAGAACACGUAUAUAUUUUUUAUGAUUGACAUUUAUCGAUAUGAUUUGACCUAGCGUAUCAUAUCAUGUUGGUAAAUUUUUAAUAUAAUCUCGUGUCACGUGUUACGACACUUAAAUUCUUACUUUCUAAGAAGUUGAGGGUAUUGCAGUGUUUUAAUACUAAAGAAUUAGU